ACUCAAAUGAAUUGACGGGGACCCACACAAGCAGUGGAUCAUGUGGUUUAAUUCGACAAUAAACGGGGAACCUUACCCAGGCUUGACAUCCUACGAAUCCGGUGGAAACAUCGGAGUGCCCGCAAGGGAAUGUAGAGACAGGCGCUGCAUGGUUGUCGUCAGCUCGUGCCUUGAGGUGUUCGGUUAAGUCCGUUAACGAGCGCAACCCACGUCAUUAGUUACUAUGUCUAAUGAGACUGCUCUAGUUAAUAGAGAGGAAGGUGUGGAUGACGUCAAAUCAGCAUGGCCCUUAUGCCUGGGGCUACACACAUGAUACAAUGGUCGGUACAAAGAGUUGCAACACCGCGAGGUGAAGCGAAUCUCAUAAAGCCGAUCUCAGUCCAGAUUGGAGGCUGCAACUCGCCUCCAUGAAGUUGGAAUUGCUAGUAAUCGUGAAUCAGAUAUGUCACGGUGAAUAUGUUCCUGGGUCUUGCACACACCGCCCGU
RNAcentral lists this ribosomal RNA (486 nucleotides) under uncultured bacterium. RNAcentral's name for it is "partial 16S ribosomal RNA". It matches the Rfam family "Bacterial small subunit ribosomal RNA", at positions 899 to 1397 of the family's 1533-position model. The record is from RNAcentral.